AUGUCCAGCAGUAGGCAUGCACUUGCAACGGUCACACCCCAACUGCAAUUGCAUGCCUUCCAACAAGGGAUGCAACGAGUUUUUUUGGGGAAUUGCAUGACCGAUACUGGGCAUGCAACUACAACUGUGACCACCGACUACAACCGCAUUUCGUUAGUUGGCUUGCAACUACAAGUCUCACGCCCAACUGUAAUUGCAUGUCUGUGUUUUUGUCGUAGGGCGGCGGAGGAGAGAGGGGGUGACGUAGUUGCAAGUGGGGGGGGGAGUUGCAUGUCCGGUACUAGGCAUGCAACUGUCACCCAUGACUGCAACCGCAUGUCCGAUAGUAGCUUGCAACUAUAG
This 342-nucleotide ribosomal RNA is filed under the name Triticum aestivum (bread wheat). Its description in RNAcentral is "partial small subunit ribosomal RNA". The record is from RNAcentral. Lineage: Eukaryota; Viridiplantae; Streptophyta; Magnoliopsida; Poales; Poaceae.